Molecule: ribosomal RNA, 517 nt
Filed under: uncultured archaeon
Lineage: Archaea
Description: bacterial SSU rRNA
Rfam family: Archaeal small subunit ribosomal RNA
Source: RNAcentral
GUAACACGUAGUCAACCUGCCCUGGAGACAUGGACAACCCCGGGAAACUGGGAUUAAUCCGUGAUAGGUCAUCUCAUCUGGAAGGAGAGAUGGCUUAAAGGGGCGCGCGGGCUUCUUCUGCGCGUUUGCUCCAGGAUGGGACUGCGUCCGAUCAGGCUGUUGGCGGGGUAAUGGCCCACCAAACCUGUAACCGGUACGGGCCUUGAGAGAGGUGGCCCGGAGAUGGACACUGAGAGAAGGGUCCAGGUCCUACGGGGCGCAGCAGGCGCGAAACCUUCGCAAUGCGCGAAAGCGUGACGAGGUUAAUCCGAGUGGCCUCCGCUGAGGAGGUCUUUUGUCAGCUGUAAAUAGGCGGGCGAAUAAGGGGAGGGCAAGCCUGGUGUCAGCCGCCGCGGUAAUACCAGCUCCUCGAGUGGUCGGGGCGAUUAUUGGGCCUAAAGCAUCCGUAGCCGGUUCCGUAGGUCCUCUGUUAAAUCCACCCGCUCAACGGGUGACCUGCAGGGGAUACCGCGGGACU